GUCCUUCUUGUCCUGGUUGCUGUUCCCAUCUGAGUACCAGCUUCCCAUUGCCCUGAGGGUGGGCAGGCCUGCAAUGGAGGGAAAAAGGAAGAGGAGAAGGAAAUUGUCCCAGAUCCCUGCAGUGGGUCCAAGCCUCUCCUGGGUGGCCAGUCUUUCCGUAGGUUGCAGCACAAUGCCAGGCAAGAGAAACGGAAAGAAAUUAAUCCCAAUCGGUCAAGGUCGAUUUGAGGGUCUGCUGUAGCUGGUGGCUCUGCUUGAAGUGAGGGAGGAAGUUUCCUCUGAUCAGUAGAGAUUGGAAAGUUUGUUGGGAGUGGCACACCACCAGGGGAAAGAAGAAGGGGCGAACUGCUUAUCUUGAGGAGGUCAAACUCCAGAAUCAGCUGCUGUGGCUUUGAAGUGGCUGAAGAUGGUCACCCUCCACAGGCUUGUGCCCAGUCCCACAGCCUUCCUCCCCUAUCCUGAGGGACUACUGUAUUCCUUGGUCCCUGCUAUUGUCAGGGACGAUUGCAUGGGCUAUGCCAGGAAAGUAGGCUGGGUGACUGCAGGCCUGGUGAUUGGGGCUGGUGUCUGCUAUUGCAUUUAGAGACUGACUACAGGAAGAAAACAGAACAAGGAAAAAAUGGCUGAGGGUGGGUCUGGGCAUGUGGAUGAUGCCAGGGACUGUUCUGGGGCCAGGUAUAAUGAUUGGUCUGAUGAUGAUGAUGACAGCAAUGAGAGCAAGAGUAUAGUAUGGUACCCACCUUGGGGCUGCAUUGGGACUGAAGCUGGAACCAGAGCUAGGGUCAGGGCAAGGGCCAGGGCUACCCGGGCGUGUCGGGCUGUACAGAAAUGGGCUUCCCCUAAUUCAGAUGAUACCGUUUUGUCCCCUCAAGAGCUACAAAAGGUUCUUUGCUUGGUUGAGAUGUCUGAAAAGCCUUGUAUUCUUGAAGCAGCUUUAAUUGCUCUGGGUAACAAUGCUGCUUUUACAUUUAACAGAGAUAUUAUUUGUGACCUGGGUGGUCUCCCAAUUGUUGCAAAGCUUCUCAAUACUCGAGAUCCCAUAGUUAAAGAAAAGGCUUUGAUUAUCCUGAAUAACUUGAGUGUGAGUGCUGAAAAAUCAACACAUGCUUAAGGUAUGCAUGAAUCAAGUAUGUGACGACACAAUCACUUCUCACUUGAACUCAUCUGUGCAGCUGGCUGGACUAAGAUUGCUUACAAAUAUGACUGUUACUAACGAGUAUCAGCACAUGCUUGCUAAUUCCAUUUCUGACUUUUUUCAUUUAUUUUCAGCGGGAAAUGAAGAAACCAAACUUCAGGUUCUGAAACUCCUUUUGAAUUUGGCUGAAAAUCCAGCUAUGACUAGGGAACUGCUCAGGGCCCAAGUACCAUCUUCACUGGGCUCCCUCUUUAAUAAAAAGGAGGACAAAGAAGUUAUUCUUAAACUUCUGGUCAUAUUUGAGAACAUAAAUGAUAAUUUCAAAUGGGAAGAAAAUGAACCUACUCAGAAUCAAUUCGGUGAAGGUUCACUUCUUUUCUUUUUAAAAGAAUUUAAAGUAUGUGCUGAUAGGUUCUGGGAAUAGAAAGCCACCAUGAUUUUUUGGUGAAAGUAAAAGUUGGAAAAUUCAUGGCCAAACUGGCUGAACAUAUGUUCCCAAAGAACCAGGAAUAACUCCUUUAUUGUGUAGUUUAGAAGCAACACACAU
RNA transcript from Cebus imitator (Panamanian white-faced capuchin), 1682 nucleotides. It is a transcript of the gene named armadillo repeat-containing X-linked protein 3-like, with no coding region annotated. NCBI's taxonomy places the organism in Eukaryota, Metazoa, Chordata, Mammalia, Primates, Cebidae. The transcript has a single exon. The record is from RefSeq and is a predicted model, not a curated record.